AUGAGGCUGCUGGGUCUUCUCCUGUGCUUGCUGACAGCCCCCCAAGGUGUCCUGUCCCAGGAGCAGCUGCGGCAGUGGGGCCCAGGAUGGGUGAAGCCCUCGCAGACCCUCUCCCUCACCUGCGCAGACCAUGGAUUACCCAUCACAACCAGUGGUUACUGCUGGAAUUGGAUCCGCCAGGCCCCAGGCAAGGGGCUGGAGUGGAUGGGGUGCAUAAAUUAUGAUGGGAGCACUUACUACAGCACCAACCUCAAGAGCCGGACCUCCAUCUCCAGAGACACAUCCAAGAACCAGGUCUCCCUGCAACUGAGUUCUGUGACCACGGAGGACACAGCUGUGUAUUACUGUGCAAGAGACACAGUGAGGGGCAGUCAGUAUUUCUUUGGGUACUGGGAUACCCUCUCCCUCACCUGCGCUGUAUAUGGAUUGUCCAUCACCAGUGGUUACUGCUGGAAUUGGAUACGCCAGUCUCCUGGGAAGGGUCUAGAGUGGAUGGGGUGCAUAUCUUAUAAUGGAAACACUUACUACAGCCCCUCCAUCAAGAGCCGAACCUCUAUUUCCAGAGACACAUCUAAGAACCAGUUCUCCCUGCAGCUGAGCUCUGUGACCACCGAGGACAUGGCCCUGUAUUACUGUGCAGGACACAGUGUGGGGAACUCAGUGUGA
Molecule: non-coding RNA, 666 nt
Organism: Eptesicus fuscus (big brown bat)
Lineage: Eukaryota; Metazoa; Chordata; Mammalia; Chiroptera; Vespertilionidae
Source: the annotation of a RefSeq genome assembly